GUGGGGAAUAUUGCACAAUGGGCGAAAGCCUGAUGCAGCGACGCCGCGUGAGGGAUGACGGCCUUCGGGUUGUAAACCUCUUUCAGCAGGGAAGAAGCGAAAGUGACGGUACCUGCAGAAGAAGCACCGGCUAACUACGUGCCAGCAGCCGCGGUAAUACGUAGGGUGCGAGCGUUGUCCGGAAUUAUUGGGCGUAAAGAGCUUGUAGGCGGUUUGUCGCGUCUGCUGUGAAAAUCCGGGACUCAAUUCCGGACUUGCAGUGGGUACGGGCAGACUAGAGUACGGUAGGGGAGACUGGAAUUCCUGGUGUAGCGGUGAAAUGCGCAGAUAUCAGGAGGAACACCGAUGGCGAAGGCAGGUCUCUGGGCCGUAACUGACGCUGAGAAGCGAAAGCAUGGGGAGCGAACAGGAUUAGAUACCCUAGUAGUCC
RNAcentral lists this ribosomal RNA (430 nucleotides) under uncultured bacterium. RNAcentral describes it as "bacterial SSU rRNA". It matches the Rfam family "Bacterial small subunit ribosomal RNA", at positions 354 to 796 of the family's 1533-position model. The record is from RNAcentral.